This 266-nucleotide long non-coding RNA is filed under the name Bos taurus (domestic cattle). Its description in RNAcentral is "long non-coding RNA NONBTAT016990". The record is from RNAcentral. Lineage: Eukaryota; Metazoa; Chordata; Mammalia; Artiodactyla; Bovidae.
GAGAUCCUUUAGGCCACUGUCAAGAAGACCAAUGCUGACACCUCUCCAACUCCAUUUAUUGUGGAACUUAGUUUUUCUAAAGUACUGAUUUGUGAAUACAUCCAACUAGUCUAUGUGCAUAUCCAAACGACAGACUGUUUAUCCUUAUUAUUCCUUUAAUAAUCAAGACCAUCACUGGGCUGGGGGCAGAGUGUAAGUAUAAAACCUUCUGGACUUCAAGUCUCUGAUAUUUUUGAGUGGUGUUUUAUUUUUCAGAUGUAUUUUUU